AAAGAAUGACUGUUGGAGGUUUUAAUCUUCUCCUUUCGAGAAUAUUUUUAUUAUUGCUAGAUGUACGCCUAAAAAACAUAACCAUCCGCGGCAACGCACGGACAUUGCCACUGGAGGUUGUCCAAAUCUUACUAAGCUCAACAUCUAUGGCUGCUAGGCUUUUAGUGACGAUGGUCUCAAGUUAUGUAGUAGUUACUAUAUAAAGUUGAAAACUUUCAACCUUUGUGGGUCUGUGAAAGCAGCCACCAAUAAGGCUCUGAAGGCUAAAGGAUACAACUGUCGACAACAACUUGAGUCGAUAAAUUUUGGUUGGUGUGAGGGAGUUAGUGAUGUUGGAGAGAUGAGUUUACCUUAUGGGUGUCCUAAUCUCCAUGCUAUUUACUUGUGUGGUCAUGUCUUUAUAACAGGUCCGUUUGGAGCUACAAAAUAAUGGACAAAUGGUUACAUCUGAUGAUCAUGCAGUUGUACUUGGAUACUUGAAUGCAACUUUCAUACAAGAGGUUUCAAGAAUUUGUUCCAAGUAGUUUUAUAGUAAUGUUUACAAAAUAUAAAUUUGUUCUUUUGUCUUUGAAUAGAAGUGCUCUUUGGAAACAGGCCCUGGACUUUUUUGUAAAUCAAUACUUCUA
This is a long non-coding RNA of Helianthus annuus (common sunflower), 626 nucleotides long. RefSeq lists it as uncharacterized. The transcript is spliced from 3 exons. The record is from RefSeq and is a predicted model, not a curated record. Lineage: Eukaryota; Viridiplantae; Streptophyta; Magnoliopsida; Asterales; Asteraceae.